RNAcentral lists this ribosomal RNA (497 nucleotides) under uncultured bacterium. RNAcentral's name for it is "partial 16S ribosomal RNA". It matches the Rfam family "Bacterial small subunit ribosomal RNA", at positions 28 to 507 of the family's 1533-position model. The record is from RNAcentral.
GAUGAACGCUGGCGGCGUGCCUAAUACAUGCAAGUCGAGCGAACAGACGAGGAGCUUGCUCCUCUGACGUUAGCGGCGGACGGGUGAGUAACACGUGGAUAACCUACCUAUAAGACUGGGAUAACUUCGGGAAACCGGAGCUAAUACCGGAUAAUAUAUUGAACCGCAUGGUUCAAUAGUGAAAGACGGUUUUGCUGUCACUUAUAGAUGGAUCCGCGCCGCAUUAGCUAGUUGGUAAGGUAACGGCUUACCAAGGCAACGAUGCGUAGCCGACCUGAGAGGGUGAUCGGCCACACUGGAACUGGGACACGGUCCAGACUCCUACGGGAGGCAGCAGUAGGGAAUCUUCCGCAAUGGGCGAAAGCCUGACGGAGCAACGCCGCGUGAGUGAUGAAGGUCUUCGGAUCGUAAAACUCUGUUAUUAGGGAAGAACAAAUGUGUAAGUAACUAGGCACGUCUUGACGGUACCUAAUCAGAAAGCCACGGCUAACUACGUG